AAUUAGCAUGUUAACUUCUUGGUAGUAUUUGCGUCCCACAAACACAGCAGCAGCAAAAGCAUUGGGCUUAAAGGCAUUAAGCAGACAGGACAGUUACAAAUUGGAAUACAUGUUUGCUCAUAUACAUAAGCCACGUAAUGUACACGAACUUCAUUUCAGAGAUUGGAUUAAGUACGGAAUCCGAACCACCCUGAUCCAGAUGCCCUUGGGAAAUACAGCUGGAGAAACAGAAUGUAGACUUCCAAAUACUCCACUGAGAGGAUAAAAAUAAUAAUAAAAAAUAGAAUUCCUUCUGUAAACUAGAGAUGAACGACUGGAAUGAUGAAAAGUAGUGUACCUAGGAGAUGAGGGUGUGUGUAUGUGAUCAUCAUAAAGGAAACUCUUGCAACGAGUAGCAGUCGUAGCAAGCAACAGCCUCCAAUCAUGGGGCCCUUUCAGGUGUUUUUUUUUUUUUUUAAUGCUCCCUCAACGUCCAUCAGCCAUAAUAUAAACAAAGCAGAUAUCCUACCUUCAUUUUUUAAGAAAUUUGUUUGCAUUAUAUUUUUUUCCCUCUAGAAAUUAGGCGGAGAAGGUGAAGAUAGGAAGGGGGAAAAAAGUGAGAAAAAGGAAAUGGAGAAAUGGAAUAGGGAGAAGAAGUGGGAGAAGAGAGAAUAAAUCUAUGAAGAUCAAAAAAUUAAAUUCCUAUAAAAUGUGCGGAGGACACUUUCACGACAACAUUUUGACAGGAAUAAAAAAAAAGAUUCUGACAAGAAUUUAGUGAUAAUUGAAGAUUUUAGAACAUAGAGAACUCUUAUUUACUUGUGUGAGUUGCAGAGGAAAUAUAACAAGAUAUUUAUAUAUGUAUUGUAGCCUAUAUUAGUAAACUACACCAACUACUAAAUAGGAAAUAUAAGGUAUUUAUACAUGUGUUGUAGCCUACAUUAGUAGACUACUACUACUCAAUCACAAUAAUUUAUAGAAGCUAAUUAAAUCAAACAAAUUAGGAUCAUAUCAGUCUGAAAUCAUGCUCAAAUCUUGCACUAGUCAAGACUCCCCCAUCAAGUUAGUGCAAAGAUAUUACACAUGCUCAACUUGCAUAUCAAUGUAAAGAUCUUGUUGCUAAGACCUUUAGUAAGUUCAACAGCCAGUUGUUUGUCAAAUGUCACACCGAGUGUACUCAAGAUAAUUAUAGUAAAUUAUGCUAACUCAUCCAAUAUCCAGUUCCUUGAUCAUUAAUCUUAUAUCACAACAUAGAAACAAAUACCAAAUUAUCUCAAUAGUUUCUUUAAAUAAAGAUAAUUAAAUUACAAUUCGCAAUCAGUGUCAAACAAGCUAAUUUCUAAAAUACAAGUGUAUUAAAACAAUAAAAUAAAGCAAUCAAAAUGUAUGAGUGUUUGUGCAUGUGUGUAAAUAAAUAAACAUAAUGGCAAGCAGCAGUAAAACAUUGAUACCUCACUGGAGAAGACAACCAAAGUUGCCUAUUGGGUGUCUGCUUGUUCAACACAUAGGUACCUAAAUCCCCAAGCUUGAGAGUCAAAACCUCAUUCUACCAAAACGUGUAAACAAACCCAUUAAAUCACAAACAACUUUUAUAAAUAAAAUAAAUAAAAAAACAACUAUUUCUCAAUCAGUCUCACCCCAUAAUCAAUGUCAAGGCCAUCAAUUUGGACACUAUCACAAUAUUCCUGUAAAACACACAGCAACCAAUAUCUAAAGGCACAAAAAUCAUUUCAUUUAAAUAAAGAAGGAUGCAAGGCAACAUUUUCAACCUCGAAUUUCUCCUGAAGGUCAUGGAUUGUGGAAUCAGCUAGUCUAUGGAAGUCAUCUUCCUGCAGAAGAGAACUGUAUCAAAAUUAAUUGCCAUUAGCAAUCCAAUCACAUAUAUUUCAAUAAAAAUAGGAAAAGCAUGUUGUAGUACUAACCGGUAAUCAAUAGUAGCAGGGCCUUGAGAGUCCACAUUGAGAUCCAAAUGGCGAGAGCAGAAGCUUCUUGAACAUGAAGAAAAGCAAGGACUGAGAACGUUGGAGUGUUGACUGAGAACUUUAGAAGCAAGUAGAAGCAAAUAACUAGAAUGGGGAAAUGUUGAAGCAUAAGAAGUAGGAGGAGAUUGAAAGUGAGGUUUCAGAAGCUUUGAGAGCCUUCUUAAAGAAAGUAACUUGGAACCCAUUUCUGUAAUUAGAAAAAUACUCUUCACUAGAACUGAAUUUGUUCUGUUUGAUUUGGCCAAUAAACUGAAAAUAUACUUGAGUUUUCCAUUCCCUUCUCGUAUCCGGCCAAACUCGCCGAACCCGUUUAUCCUUACCAACUUUUGCUGUAAUCUGAAUUACAAAAUGGAAUCAUAAUCAAAAUAUCGGAACAUAAACGGAAAUCAAAGAGGACAAACAAUUAAAUUUUAAAAUAAUUAAAAACAAAUAUAUGAAAUUAUUAAUAAUAAAAUUAUAUAAAUUUCAAGAAAUCUCAACGAAUCCACUUAUAUAUAUUCUACAAUUUUCAACAAUUUUCAAAUAAACAAAUUUCCAAACAACAAAUUUCAACAAACCCAUCAAGUAACCCAUCAAAUCAAACCUGUUGUGGAGAAGCAGCAAUCGAGGAGCUACAGCGAGCAAAAAUAGAAAUGGCUGGAUUGCCGAGGAGGAGAAAACUGGAAACCACAAAGGAGGAGCUGCACCGACUCUGGACUAGCGACGUGCCGAAGAGAGGCUUUCACUUCGGACCAGC
RNAcentral lists this long non-coding RNA (2697 nucleotides) under Manihot esculenta (cassava). RNAcentral describes it as "long non-coding RNA (MESC_LNC010740)". The record is from RNAcentral. Lineage: Eukaryota; Viridiplantae; Streptophyta; Magnoliopsida; Malpighiales; Euphorbiaceae.